This 1343-nucleotide ribosomal RNA is filed under the name metagenome. RNAcentral describes it as "bacterial LSU rRNA". It matches the Rfam family "Bacterial large subunit ribosomal RNA", at positions 1564 to 2912 of the family's 2925-position model. The record is from RNAcentral.
UGAGUGCGAGCUGCUACGGCAGCGAAGUUGGUGACGUCAUGCUUCCAAGAAAAGCCCUAUACCCGUUAAGGCAUCAUGGCCUGUACCCGAAACCGACACAGGUGGGGUGGUAGAGAAUACCGAGGGGCGCGAGGUAACUCUCUCUAAGGAACUCGGCAAAAUGGCCCCGUAACUUCGGGAGAAGGGGUGCCACCGCAAGGUGGUCGCAGUGAAGAGGCCCAGGCGACUGUUUACCAAAAACACAGGUCUCCGCUAAGUCGCAAGACGAUGUAUGGGGGCUGACGCCUGCCCAGUGCCGGAAGGUUAAGGAAGCUGGUCAGCGCAAGCGAAGCUAGCGACUGAAGCCCCGGUGAACGGCGGCCGUAACUAUAACGGUCCUAAGGUAGCGAAAUUCCUUGUCGGGUAAGUUCCGACCCGCACGAAAGGCGUAACGAUCUGGGCGCUGUCUCGGAGAGAGGCUCGGCGAAAUAGAAUUGUCUGUGAAGAUGCGGACUACGUGCACCCGGACAGAAAGACCCUAUGAAGCUUUACUGUAGCUUGGUAUUGUGCCCGGGCUCGCAAUGCGCAGGAUAGGUGGGAGGCUUUGAUCAUCGGCUUGCGGGUCGAUGUGAGCCAACGGUGAGAUACCACUCUUUGCGAGCUAGGGUUCUAACGGCCACCCGUCAUCCGGGGGCCGGACAGUACCUGGUGGGCAGUUUGACUGGGGCGGUCGCCUCCUAAAAGGUAACGGAGGCGCGCAAAGGUUUGCUCAGGCUGGUUGGAAAUCAGCCGACGAGUGUAAAAGCAGAAGCAAGCUUGACUGUGAGACCAACAAGUCGAACAGGGAGGAAACUCGGCUUUAGUGAUCCGACGGUUCUGAGUGGAAGGGCCGUCGCUCAACGGAUAAAAGUUACUCUAGGAUAACAGGCUGAUCUCCCCCAAGAGUUCACAUCGACGGGGAGGUUUGGCACCUCGAUGUCGGCUCAUCGCAACCUGGGGCUGAAGUCGGUCCCAAGGGUUGGGCUGUUCGCCCAUUAAAGCGGUACGCGAGCUGGGUUCAGAACGUCGUGAGACAGUUCGGUCCAUAUCCGGUGCACGCGCAGGAAUAUUGAGAGGAUUUCUCCCUAGUACGAGAGGACCGGGAGGAACGCACCUCUGGUGUACCAGUUAUCGUGCCAACGGUAAACGCUGGGUAGCCAUGUGCGGAGUGGAUAACCGCUGAAAGCAUCUAAGUGGGAAGCCCACCUCAAGAUGAGUAUUCCCAUGGCGUAAGCCAGUAAGGUCACGGGAAGAACACCCGUUGAUAGGCUCUAUGUGGAAGCGCAGUAAUGCGUGAAGCAGAGGAGUACUAAUAGACCGAGGGC